This 1048-nucleotide ribosomal RNA is filed under the name uncultured bacterium. RNAcentral describes it as "bacterial SSU rRNA". It matches the Rfam family "Bacterial small subunit ribosomal RNA", at positions 9 to 1066 of the family's 1533-position model. The record is from RNAcentral.
GAGUUUGAUCCUGGCUCAGGAUAAACGUUGGCGGUGCGCCUUAUGCAUGCAAGUCGGACGAGGUUACAGUUUUCGGAUUGUAACCGAGUGGCGAACGGCUGAGUAACACGUAAGCAACCUACCUACAAGUGGGGGAUAACUUGCCGAAAGGCAAGAUAAUACCGCAUAUGGCAACCAAGUUUUGCUUGGUUAUCAAAGCUUCACAGCGCUAGUAGAGGGGCUUGCGCCUGAUUAGCUAGUUGGCAGGGUAAUAGCCUACCAAGGCGACGAUCAGUAGCUGGUCUGAGAGGAUGGUCAGCCAGAUGGGGACUGAGACACGGCCCCAACUCCUACGGGAGGCAGCAGCAAGGGAUAUUGGGCAAUGGGCGAAAGCCUGACCCAGCGACACCGCGUGGGGGAAGAAGGCCUUCGGGUCGUAAACCCCUUUUCUCGAGGAAGAAUUUUGACGGUACUCGGGGAAUAAGUCUCGGCUAACUACGUGCCAGCAGCCGCGGUAAGACGUAGGAGGCGAACGUUAUCCGGAUUUACUGGGCGUAAAGAGAGCGUAGGCGGUUUUUUAAGUCAAGUGUGAAAUCUUCUGACUCAAUCAGGAGACGCCGCUUGAUACUGGGUAGCUUGAGGGCAGCAGAAGGAAAUGGAAUUCCCAGUGUAGCGGUGAAAUGCGUUGAUAUUGGGAAGAACACCAGUGGCGAAGGCGAUUUCCUAGGCUGUUCCUGACGCUGAGGCUCGAAAGCGUGGGGAGCGAAGCGGAUUAGAUACCCGCGUAGUCCACGCCCUAAACGGUGGACACUAGAUAUGGGGGGUAUCGACCCCCUCUGUGUCGAAGCUAACGCUUUAAGUGUCCCGCCUGGGUACUACGGCCGCAAGGCUAAAACUCAAAGGAAUUGACGGGGGUCCGCACAAGCAGCGGAGCGUGUGGUUUAAUUCGAUGAUACGCGAAGAACCUUACCAGGGCUUGACAUAUCAGAAGUAGGAAUCCGAAAGGACGACGACCUGUAUCCAAUCAGGAGCUGUUACAGGUGCUGCAUGGCUGUCGUCAGCUCGUGCC